AAAGGCGAAAGAAUAGCUCGC
This 21-nucleotide small nuclear RNA is filed under the name Arabidopsis thaliana (thale cress). Its description in RNAcentral is "snRNA_07941". The record is from RNAcentral. Lineage: Eukaryota; Viridiplantae; Streptophyta; Magnoliopsida; Brassicales; Brassicaceae.